UAGCCGGGCGGUACAGCCCGCCCAGUUCUGUAGUUCUCGCAGCUGUCCGCCGCCGGUCCCCGGGAUGACUUUGGUCGGCUUCAUCCCGAGCCGAGCAGUUGGGGAAACUGAGGCACGGGAGAGGCAGUUUACCAGACACGGCAUAGUGAGGACUCAAAUUCGUCUAUGAGGUCGCCCAGUUCGUGCUACUCUGUUCUGGGGAUGGAGAUGAGUUGAGGAUUUUCAAAGAUGAAUUAAUACGGCCCCUGGCGUGGAGGAAUUUAAAGGUCGAGGUGGGCGGGGAGAGGCGGGGUCAACUAUAAAUCCAACUCCAUAAACGUUCCAAUGGAGGCAGCAUGUGGCAGGGGAAGGAGCAUUCAUGGCCUUUUUUAGUGAACCUGACCCUGUUUCAGAUUCUUUUGUCUUU
This is a long non-coding RNA of Myotis daubentonii (Daubenton's bat), 406 nucleotides long. RefSeq lists it as uncharacterized. The record is from RefSeq and is a predicted model, not a curated record. NCBI's taxonomy places the organism in Eukaryota, Metazoa, Chordata, Mammalia, Chiroptera, Vespertilionidae.